AGCGAACGCUGGCGGCAGGCUUAACACAUGCAAGUCGAGCGGGCCCUUCGGGGGCAGCGGCGGACGUGUGAGUAACGCGAGGGAACGUGCCCUCUGGUCUGGAAUAACCCUGGGAAACUAGGGCUAAUACCGGCUACGCCCUUUUGGGGAAAGGCUUGCUGCCGGAGGAGCGGCCAGCGUCUGAUUAGCUAGUUGGGGGGGUAACGGCCUACCAAGGCGACGAUCAGUAGCUGGUCUGAGAGGAUGAUCAGCCACACUGGGACUGAGACACGGCCCAGACUCCUACGGGAGGCAGCAGUGGGGAAUAUUGGACAAUGGGCGCAAGCCUGAUCCAGCCAUGCCGCGUGAGUGAUGAAGGCCUUAGGGUUGUAAAGCUCUUUUAUCCGGGACGAUAAUGACGGUACCGGAGGAAUAAGCCCCGGCUAACUUCGUGCCAGCCGCCGCCGUAA
This 449-nucleotide ribosomal RNA is filed under the name uncultured bacterium. Its description in RNAcentral is "partial 16S ribosomal RNA". It matches the Rfam family "Bacterial small subunit ribosomal RNA", at positions 28 to 523 of the family's 1533-position model. The record is from RNAcentral.